RNAcentral lists this non-coding RNA (30 nucleotides) under Mus musculus (house mouse). The record is from RNAcentral. Lineage: Eukaryota; Metazoa; Chordata; Mammalia; Rodentia; Muridae.
UGAGCUAUCACAGGUCAAGUUGUUGCUUCA